RNAcentral lists this ribosomal RNA (468 nucleotides) under uncultured bacterium. RNAcentral's name for it is "partial 16S ribosomal RNA". It matches the Rfam family "Bacterial small subunit ribosomal RNA", at positions 28 to 507 of the family's 1533-position model. The record is from RNAcentral.
GAUGAACGCUGGCGGCGUGCUUAACACAUGCAAGUCGAACGGUGAAGGCGGAGCUUGCUCUGCUGGAUCAGUGGCGAACGGGUGAGUAACACGUGAGCAAUCUGCCCCUGACUAUGGGAUAAGCGCUGGAAACGGCGUCUAAUACUGGAUACGAGCUUCGAAGGCAUCUUCAGCAGCUGGAAAGAAGUUCGGUCAGGGAUGAGCUCGCGGCCUAUCAGCUUGUUGGUGAGGUAAUGGCUCACCAAGGCGUCGACGGGUAGCCGGCCUGAGAGGGUGACCGGCCCCCCUGCGCCUGAGACACGGCCCAGCCUCGUACGGGAGGCAACGGUGGGGAGUAUUAUACAGUAGGCGCACGCCUGGUGCGACGACGCCGGGUGAGGGAAGCCGGCCUGGCAGUAGUAAACCUCUGUUCGCAGGGAAGGGGCGAAAAUGACGGUACCUGCAGAAAAAGCGCCGGCUAACUACGUG